Molecule: ribosomal RNA, 464 nt
Filed under: uncultured bacterium
Lineage: Bacteria
Description: partial 16S ribosomal RNA
Rfam family: Bacterial small subunit ribosomal RNA
Source: RNAcentral
GACGAACGCUGGCGGCGUGCUUAACACAUGCAAGUCGAACGGAAAGGCCCCUUUGGGGGUACUCGAGUGGCGAACGGGUGAGUAACACGUGAGUAACCUGCCCUUGACUUCGGGAUAACUUCAGGAAACUGGGGCUAAUACCGGAUAGGAAUCCUUGCUGCAUGGUGGGGGUUGGAAAGCUUCGGCGGUUUUGGAUGGACUCGCGGCUUAUCAGCUUGUUGGUGGUGUAGUGGCUUACCAAGGCUUUGACGGGUAGCCGGCCUGAGAGGGCGACCGGCCACAUUGGGACUGAGAUACGGCCCAGACUCCUACGGGAGGCAGCAGUGGGGAAUAUUGCACAAUGGGCGGAAGCCUGAUGCAGCAACGCCGCGUGCGGGAUGACGGCCUUCGGGUUGUAAACCGCUUUCAGCAGGGGCGAAGCUUGUGGUGACGGUACCUGCAGAAGAAGCACCGGCUAACUACGU